This 909-nucleotide non-coding RNA is filed under the name Amerotyphlops reticulatus (reticulate worm snake). RNAcentral's name for it is "12S ribosomal RNA". It matches the Rfam family "Bacterial small subunit ribosomal RNA". The record is from RNAcentral. Lineage: Eukaryota; Metazoa; Chordata; Lepidosauria; Squamata; Typhlopidae.
ACGGUCUUGGUCCUAAACCUAUUAUUAUCUGUAAUUUAAGUAUACAUGCAAGACUCACCAUCACAGUGAGGAGCCCAAAAAUCUUUUAAAGAAAGGAGCCGGCAUCAGGCCUUGCCAAAGACGCCACGGUACGCCACACCCACACGGGCCUGCAGCAGUAACUAACAUUAGGCCAUCAGCGAACGCUGGACCUAGUUAUAAUUGACAGGGUUGGUAAAAUUCGUGCCAGCGACCGCGGUUACACGAAUAACCUAAGAUAAUAUUAACGGCGUAAACAUGACUAGAAGCCCACUAAUUUAAGGAAGAAACACAGACCUGCUGUAAAACGCCAAGUUUAAAAAAACCCAUUAGCCUUAAAUCAUUUGACUCAUGAAACCCAAGAAACAAACUGGGAUUAGAUACCCCACUAUGCUUGGCAAAAACAAGACCGAAAAGCACGCUUCGGUCCGCCAGAUUAUUACGAGUGAAAACUUAAAACUCAAAGGACUUGACGGUGUCCCACACACAACCUAGAGGAGCCUGUCCUAUAAUCGAUGAUCCACGAAGGACCUAACCACUUUUAGCCUAACAGCCUAUAUACCGCCGUCGAAAGUCCACCCUAUGAAGGAAAAACAGUGAGCACAGUUAGCCUACCUAAAUACGUCAGGUCAAGGUGUAGUCAAUAAAGUGGCCAGAGAUGGGCUACAUUUCCUUUUAAAGGAAAUACGAACGGCCGAAUGAAAGAUGGGCCUGAAGAAGGAUUUAGUAGUAAAACAGGAUCAGCAAGCCUGCUUGAACACACUGCCCUGGGACGCGUACACACCGCCCGUCACCCCCAUCAACACACCUAAAACAAAUAAAUAAAAAGGAGGGUAAAGAAAGAUUGGGCAAGUCGUAACAUGGUAAGUGUACUGGAAAGUGCACUUGGAA